GUGCUUGCUCAGGCAGCACAUACUGUAUGACAGAUUGGAAUCAGAGAGAUUAGCAUGGCCCCCGCGAAAGGAUGACACGCAUAUCUGUGAAGCGUUUCCACAUUUUU
Molecule: small nuclear RNA, 107 nt
Organism: Sebastes umbrosus (honeycomb rockfish)
Lineage: Eukaryota; Metazoa; Chordata; Actinopteri; Perciformes; Sebastidae
Source: RefSeq, a predicted model, not a curated record